This 70-nucleotide transfer RNA is filed under the name Ovis aries (sheep). It matches the Rfam family "tRNA". Rfam says of the family: Transfer RNA (tRNA) molecules are approximately 80 nucleotides in length. Their secondary structure includes four short double-helical elements and three loops (D, anti-codon, and T loops). The record is from Rfam by way of RNAcentral. Lineage: Eukaryota; Metazoa; Chordata; Mammalia; Artiodactyla; Bovidae.
UGUAUUGUCGCUCAGUGGUAAAGAAUCUGCCUGUAGAGCAGGAAACCCAGGUUCGAUCCCGGCAGGAAAA